UCUUCCGUAGUAUAGUGGUCAGUAUGUGAGCUUGUCAUGUCCAUCUUUCAAGGUGCUGACUUUCGCUCGAGACCCGGGUUCAAUUCCCGGCGGGAGAG
This is a non-coding RNA of Podospora conica, 98 nucleotides long. NCBI's taxonomy places the organism in Eukaryota, Fungi, Ascomycota, Sordariomycetes, Sordariales, Podosporaceae. The record is from the annotation of a GenBank genome assembly.